This 433-nucleotide ribosomal RNA is filed under the name uncultured bacterium. Its description in RNAcentral is "bacterial SSU rRNA". It matches the Rfam family "Bacterial small subunit ribosomal RNA", at positions 29 to 509 of the family's 1533-position model. The record is from RNAcentral.
AACGAACGCUGGCGGCAUGCCUAACACAUGCAAGUCGAACGAAGCCUUCGGGCUUAGUGGCGCACGGGGUGCGUAACGCGUGGGAAUCUGCCCUUGGGUUCGGAAUAACAGUUAGAAAUGACUGCUAAUACCGAAUGAUGUCUUCGGACCAAAGAUUUAUCGCCCAAGGAUGAGCCCGCGUCGGAUUAGCUAGUUGGUGAGGUAAAGGCUCACCAAGGCGACGAUCCGUAGCUGGUCUGAGAGGAUGAUCAGCCACACUGGGACUGAGACACGGCCCAGACUCCUACGGGAGGCAGCAGUGGGGAAUAUUGGACAAUGGGCGAAAGCCUGAUCCAGCAAUGCCGCGUGAGUGAUGAAGGCCUUAGGGUUGUAAGCUCUUUACCCGGAUGAUAAUGACAGUACCGGGAGAAUAAGCCCCGGCUAACUCCGUGCC